This 253-nucleotide ribosomal RNA is filed under the name uncultured bacterium. Its description in RNAcentral is "partial 16S ribosomal RNA". It matches the Rfam family "Bacterial small subunit ribosomal RNA", at positions 524 to 776 of the family's 1533-position model. The record is from RNAcentral.
UACGUAGGGUGCAAGCGUUAAUCGGAAUUACUGGGCGCAAAGCGUGCGCAGGCGGUGAUGUAAGACAGGUGUGAAAUCCCCGGGCUUAACCUGGGAACUGCAUUUGUGACUGCAUCGCUGGAGUGCGGCAGAGGGGGAUGGAAUUCCGCGUGUAGCAGUGAAAUGCGUAGAUAUGCGGAGGAACACCGAUGGCGAAGGCAAUCCCCUGGGCCUGCACUGACGCUCAUGCACGAAAGCGUGGGGAGCAAACAGG